ACUUCCUGGCAACAGAACCCAACAGAACCCGGACCCCGGGGCUCCAGGCUUCACAGCGGAGAGGAGCCCGCAGCCAGUUGGCGGGCUCUCAAGAUGUUUUGUUGUUUGCCCCUUCCCAGAGGCCGUCGCCCCGGGAGAGCUCAGCAGCAGAACGUGUGGCAUCGCGCUCGACAGUGGCUCCGGAAGCCCCCGAGAGGCCUGUGGCCCUUUUCGCGAAGGAACGGAAAGGUAACACGGGAGCCCCUGGCCAGGCCACGUCCCCUCUCCCGUCCCACCCGGGGAACCCCGAGUCCUUUCCCUGUCUGUGUGGAUGAGGGCUUCUCGGGGUAUGUCUGCCUCAAGCAAGCCGCGGCCGAUGUGGGUCAGAAGCCUGUGGGCUGGGUGGCUGGCUGUGUCCACACCCCAGGGGAGAGCAGGCUGGGCGGGAUGGGGAGAGUCCAGGCAGCACCGGCUGCCCAGGAAGACCCCCACGUGAUCGGGGGUUGGGGGGGAGGCGACGCGGGGCUUGGGAGGGAGGGGUCUCCUUGGUCCAGGGUGGGUACCCGAGCAGACGCAUGUUUCUGCCGGCAGCAGAAGUUCAAGCGGGCAGAGGCAGCCGCCAUACUGGUCAGGCCCAGCUCAGUCAACUCCAAGCAGGGCUGGCUGACGGUCAGUGUCAUUUCAGAGCGGGCCAGUGGAUGUGGCCGAUGAGGGGGACACCCCGUUGACCUCCCCGAGGGAGGGGUCGGACCACCACCACCCCCCUGCCCGUGAGGCCCAGUGCAGGCUCCAGGUGAGCGUGUCCAUGGAGGCAUCAGCCCAAGUGGGAAUGGAGAGGAAGCGGGGAAGGCCUGCCCCACAGAAACCAGCCAGGACACACGGCAGGGCCCAGUCUCAGGCUGCCACGGAGCUCAGCACACCCGGCUCUGACCCAGAGCCCCGAGAACCCCUGCCUCUGAGGCAGCAGGAGGACCUGGAGCCCAGCACGGCAGAGCACAGAGCACUGGCCUCUAAUGACAACCAGACUCCACUUGCAAGUCCUGUCCCGACAGCAGUGGAGUCUCCCGGCGCAGAGAGAGAUCGACUGAGGGGAGAUCGAGGCCUGCGACUUCCCUUCCCCAAGACACCGGGCCAGCUGGGUACUGGCCAGCACCCUGGGCAUAUGGGACCUCUGUGCCUGCAGGACCCCCAGCCCCAGGCACCGACGUCCCGCCCCCUCAGCCAGAACAUGCACAUGCACCUGCACCUGCACCUGCACCUGCACCUGCACCUGCUCGGGCUUCGGCAGGAGAACCCGAGUCAGGGGAUGCGUCACCACCUCUGCGGGGAGAGCCUGCCCUGGCUCGUGCCCAAGACCCAGAUGCCCACCAUGCCUGACCCACCCCUGCAGGGAGAACCGGCCCCCGCUCUGGACAGAGCCCCAGAGCCCUUUCUGAAAAGCCCUCGUCCAGGGGAGCGGUUGGCUCUGCAGCCCCCAUCCCUGCCUGCUUCCCGUGGAAGCCAUCCACUCGCUCCCCACCCGGGGCAGAUUGAGUGCCCUUCCCCUGAGCUAAUUUGCAUCUGGUUUCUGUGCAGCUUUUUUCUGAUGUUUUAUUUUUUGUAUGGCUUUAUGUAUUUUUUUUGGUUAAGUUCUUGUUAAUAAAUGUUACUUUAAUUGACGACUUUGGGAAUAUUAAGGCCUGCACAAUGCUGUGUAACCAUCACCACUGUCAACAUUCGCACCCUCUCAUUCUGUCCCCCCACUUCCCAGCAAAGCCUGGAUCCAUGUGGAGCACUCCCCAUUCCUCCCUCCCCCACCUGACAACAUUUAGUCUUCUUCUUUCUCCAUUUCUUCCCAUUCUUUGGGUGUCUGCAAUCAGUGCGAACCACUGAAAUGAUAGAAAAGUGGAAUUUGUUUUUUUGUUUUUUUUCUGACAGAAAGGGAAAGUUAUGGUCGCUUAGUCUUGUUAGACUCUUUGCAGCCCCAUGGUUUUUACAGUCCAUCGAAUUAUCUAGGGCAGGGUACUGGAGGGGGUCACUUUUCCAUUCUCCAGGGCCUUUUUCUGACUCUCCACAUAUUGGAAGACUCAACUUGAGAAUUCUUGUUUUUCUUUCAUUUGAAGUAGGCUUCGGGUAACGGAAAGGACAGUGUCGGUACUUUCAAGGUGUCAUCUGCAAAACGAAGCCCUUUUGGCAAAUGUGGUCAGAACCUGCAGGUAGGCAUUGCUGUUGUAAAUGUGACCUCUCAGCCAGAAGGGAGAUGUGGAGCUCUUGCUGUUCCACGAACACAGUCACGGAAGAAGCCAAAAGAGAGAGCUGGAAAACGAACACCACCAACGACCAAAAAGCGUUCCUCCCUGGACAAAGCUAGGGAAAAC
Capra hircus (goat) is the source of this 2336-nucleotide long non-coding RNA. The record is from Ensembl. NCBI's taxonomy places the organism in Eukaryota, Metazoa, Chordata, Mammalia, Artiodactyla, Bovidae.